Molecule: ribosomal RNA, 490 nt
Filed under: uncultured bacterium
Lineage: Bacteria
Description: partial 16S ribosomal RNA
Rfam family: Bacterial small subunit ribosomal RNA
Source: RNAcentral
AUUGAACGCUGGCGGCAUGCCUUACACAUGCAAGUCGAACGGCAGCAUGAUCUAGCUUGCUAGAUUGAUGGCGAGUGGCGAACGGGUGAGUAAUACAUCGGAACGUGCCCUGUAGUGGGGGAUAACUAGUCGAAAGAUUAGCUAAUACCGCAUACGACCUGAGGGUGAAAGUGGGGGACCGCAAGGCCUCAUGCUAUAGGAGCGGCCGAUGUCUGAUUAGCUAGUUGGGGAGGUAAAGGCUCACCAAGGCGACGAACAGGAGCUGGUCUGAGAGGACGAUUGCGCCCCCUGGGGCGUGAGCACCGCCCCCGCCCCUGAGGGAGGGCCCAGUGGGGAAUUUUUGGCAAUGGGGGGAAACCUUGCCCCACGAGUGCCGGUUUGGUGAAGAAGCCCUGCGGGUGGUAAGACAUUUUUGGCGGGAAAAAAAUGGUUUUGGUUAAAACCUGGGGUCGUGACGGUACCCGAAGAAAAAGCGCCGGCCAACUUCCUG